AAUUAUUUACUGAUUUACUUAUUUUUAUUUUAUGAAUUUCUGGUCAUGGACGCCCCAUGCAAGAGCACGAAAUAAGAAAGUCAUACAAGAGCCUUGAACGACAAAGAUGAGCAUUAAAAUAUUAUUGGGCUCAAUGAAAAUCUAACCGCCCCCUCCCCCUCCCACUCACUCCCCUUCCCCAUCAAGAAUCAAAUGGUCCGCCCCUUACGCACGACAGUUAAAUACCAGUUCAAAUCUAGAAGUGAUUCACAUCCUGAAAAACCAACCAUCCGACGCUGAUCAAGUACAUUAUCCUGCUCGCAAGCUCGUGGCAAAAGGUAAGGCAUAAUUAUUUAUGUUACUUUCGAAUAUCUAAUGCUGUUGUGCAGAAUUUUUCAACUGUGAAAUUUAUUUGCACUUUUUCGACUUUAUCCAAUUCUCAUGUUGCCGUUGUAGGAAUAGAUUAGACAAGAAAAAAUUUUUGCGACCUUAUCUGCGCAUCAAACGCGCAAUAUAAACCCAAACUGCGUCUUUCUUGUAGUUUUGUGCGCAUGCGGGGAUUUCGCAGCGCAAGCUACAGAAAUUUACAAACUGAUACUCAUUUGCAGCAUAUUUUCGACGCUGGAUUUCAGUGGUGCUUUUCACAUUGGUCGAUCCGGACUUUAACCUCCGAAACGAGAAGCUUCUUCGCUCUGGUCACCGAAGCAUGCACUAAUCGUUUUAGGGAUUAGGGAUCUGUUCGUUCUUUAUAUCUGAGAAUGAAACCAAGGAAAUUAAAAAUAGUAACAACUUUAUUCAAACAGAAAUGGCAAUAUUGGUACACAAGUUCUGAUUAUUAAAUGAACGGAACGUGCGAUUUUUUUGAUAGAGCAAGCAUUCAAAAAUAAAUCCGCCUGAGAACAGUAAACCUAGUAUUUCUUGCAAUGAUUGAAUAGUGAUGUUCAUUUCCGAUCUCAUUUAUACCGCAGUGUUGAUAGAUUCUUUCAUCGUAUGGAUCAUUGCUAUAUCGAACCGGUUUCAGCUGCGUAGGAGGUGUUUAUUUUUCUAAUAAAAUCUAAAACUUCUAUAAUUAUAUGACUUCAAACUUGAAAUAGAGUGAAUCUUGUCUAUAUAAGUAAUCAACACAUUUAUGAACCAUUUAGUAGCUAUUUUACAAUGCAAAUAUAAAUAUGACCAGAACACCAGAAAUCAGUAAUAAUUCGGUGGUAUUCAAAUGCCCAAAGUAAAGCUGGAAAUAGUGACUGAAAGGCUAAUUCAUCAUCCUUUUUAAAACAGUAGUAGCUUGCGAACUACAUUUUUUCAGUAGCGAAUUAAAGUAGUGAAUUAGUUUUCAAGCAACAAUCGCUAUAACGUUAACUUUUCAAAUUUCUCAUCAAUCGAUUGGAUAUGGUAUAAACAGAAUAUGGUAUCACACCAAAUCUCACCACCAGAGCGGGCAGAUUUUUUGCGGUCCACUUAGUCCAGCGCCAAGAACCCGGCUCAGAGUUUGAUAAGGUUUUCUUACAUUGGCAGUGCUUAAUCUCUUAAUCUUGUUCUAACACUGUACAUAAUAUUAGGGAGGUUCAGAUAUGACUUCCACUGCCGCCAUCGCUACCAUUCAGGGACCAUUAUUCGUUAACCAAUAAGAUGCACGCGCUUGAUAUAUCCGAUUAGCCAAUCAGAUGCUGAGAUGCGUAUACUAAGCCAGUGAGAGGUAUAGUGUCGUGGCCAAAGGGAAAUUGCUAGAUAGUAUACUUCAAAAUAAGGUUUCCGUUUUUAUAUCAAUUUUUUAAAUAAGUUAGGGUUAGGUUAGGGUUAUGGUUAGGUUAGGGUUGGGGUUAGGGUUAAGUUUAAUAUUAGGGUUAGAGUUUAGUUUUGCGUUAGGAUGUUUUUUUUCUACGUUAUAAAAACGGAAAUCUUAUUUUGAAGUAUACUAUCUAGCAAUUACCGUGGCCAAAGGGGAUGGACUAGAGGGUUAUCUUUUCAUGUCACGCAAUCACGAGACCUAAUCCAAUCGUCCUGCUAACCAAUCAUAUUUCGUGAUUGCCACAGACUCGUCCCCAGUCGUUAUCUGAAUUUCAAUUUUAUAGGGACGAAUAGGUAUAUCCAUAUCUAUAAUCUACAUAUAUAGAUCAGUACCAAAGGUGGACGCGCGCAAGGGGAAAAGGGAAGGUUUUUGUUGUUUUUCAAGCGUUUAUUAGCGAAUGGGAAACUCCAACAUGGCCGCCAUCUAUUCAAAUGGGGGUAACCGCUGGAAUAUUCUUGGCUUCAAUUUUACUAAAAGAGAUGCGCUAUCUAGUGUAUACAGCUAUUUCAAUUAAGGUUGUCCCCCGAGCAAAGCGGAAAAGUCGAAUACAAGCGCGAACCUUUCGCGCUUGUAUUCGACUUUUCCGCUUUGCUCGGGGGACAACCUUAAUCAAUAGCUGUAUACGAUAUCUAAGCUAAGUUAAAACUAAGACAUAAACUUCUCCAGCAAUUCCUGGAUAGUUAUUAAGUACUUGUUUUUCAGUAGUUAAUCAAUAAGCGUUGUCGAUGUUACUGUUGUUGUGUUAUCAUCAUCGCUGUUGUUGUUGUUGUUGUUGUUGUUGUUGUUGUUGUUGCUGUUGCUGUUGCUGUUGUUGUUGUUGUUGUUGUUGUUGUUGUUGUUGUUGUUGUUGUUGUUGUUGUUGUUGUUGUUGUUGAUGUCCAUGUCGCAGUUUUUGUGAAAUUGUCCUUGUUUGCUAGUAAUAUGUUUCAAUAAAAUUAAUUAGGACUAAAUGUAGUAAUAAUACAGUAAGUUUAUGUGUUUGUAAAUUUUGUCACUGAAAAGCCCCUUCAGGGGAGUGUGAAUAAUGUCAAUAAUCAAUAUCUAUGGACAUUACCCGGUAGCGGUAAUGGAAGUCAAAUCCGUGAACUUCUCUACUGAAUGGUUUGUGCCAGUGUAUGUAGUGGCAAUAAUAAGUGAAAGCUUUGGAUUGAUAGGAAUACAACUACCUGAAAAAUACAAGGAGAACCUCGAUGUUUCAAGCGAAAAGUUCUCCUUCGUUUGUAUACCUAGGCACCUAUAGUCCCCCAUAAAUUCUACAUUUUUGCCGAAAUUCUCAGACAUUUUUUUAUGUGUGAUAGCUAAAUCUGAUAAUUACACUAAUUGAAUAUCAAAAUUAUUGAAAUGAUUGAAUACUUAAUUCAUUCAAUACCUAUAAACUGCAGCGGAACAGGUCAGAACGAAAAUAUUCAUAAUCAUAUAGCCUGCAGCCGUACCUUGUUUUUAAUCCGUAACUACUAUGGCUAUACUUCACUAUUAAUCUUGUAUUUACAAGAUAAAUCCUGAAGUAGAGAUCCUGUACACCAUUUCCUAAUUGAAAUGGCGACAUGUAGUCUAAUGAAAAUGUUAGCCAAAAACUAAAACAUGAAGAAUUACAUGACUUUCAAGCACUUUAUAAAUUCAAGACUUUCAAGGCACGCAAGAGCCUUGAAUUUUUGUUUUCAAAUUUUCAAACGACUUUCAAGUUUUGAACAAACCCUGAGACGCCUAUAUCUUAAUCUAUGGUAUACUAUUACGUUUUAAUGGCGCAUCAUCAUCACAAAGAAAUUGAAUUACAAUGUCCUUACAUAAGUUAUAACGUUACAAUAAAACUAAUACUAUAUUUACAAUUUUAAAUAAAAUAGAAUCGAAAUGGCAUGUUUGAAACUCGAAUCAUACUUGGGAAAAAGCUUUUCUUAAAAAGAUCAGUUCUACAUUUGAAUUACGUAAAUUAUAGUUCACGUUUUCUCUAGUCUGAGGUAAAAGAUGAGGCAGCCGGUUACCAUCAAUCUAGACGAGGACAAUGGAGUGAGACACUGCUCACUCAAAGCUUUUCGGCAAGACGUGCCAAGGAGGAUUAUAUUCAGUGCUCUUUUCUAGACUCUUUCAAAUUAGGGCAGCCAGAUGAGCUGUAAACGAACGGCUAUGCCAUACUAUAGAUCGAUCGAAUACGGAGUAUAUUCGGCUCUAUUUAGACGCAUGUUACCACGAGAAACGGCCACGUACGGCCAAUGGUAUGCUCUGUGGGCUCGUUAUCCUCGAUCCUCUCCAAUGCGGAAGAGGUUCGAUUUCGCUGGCCUCAGAGUAACAAGACGUAUCAAAGCAACCGGUUUUACUAACACUAACCUUAUUCCAACACCAACUCUAACCCUAAUCCUAACCCUACUCCAAGUUUGUUUCUAAACCAAUCUUGAAGAAAAACGGUUUGACGAAAUGUCAUUCUGAGGUCAGCGAAAUAACUUCUUCCCUCCAAAGCAUGGGCGUAAAUCCUAUAAAAAUCGGCCGACAAAUAUCGUAGCGCGUGGGCGGCCCGACUAAUAGAAAAAUAUCGACAUUAAAAUCAAAUAAUGAAUAAAACUUCUACCGGAAUAUCCCAUCAAUUUGAUAUUUUGUCACAGUAAUACAAUUAAACAGGACAGUUAUGAUAAGUUAUAAUCUGCUGAUACCUAAGUUGACAAAUCUACUAUUAUCUCUUAAUAUUAUCUUCUUAUAAUAAUAUAAGAUUUUUUUGAAGACCCAUCCUAUAUCUUUUUAUAUUAAUUUUUCGAUGACAUUACUAUUAUUGUACUUUUAUUGCGGUUGUUUGCAAUGUAUAAUUAAUAAAUACAGUCCUUGUUAGUAAUUUUUAGUUCACUGACUCACUGAGUAGAUUUGCCACGAGACCGACUUACAAAUGAAUGGCAUAGUAUAGGGUGAUCAAAAAAUGUGUCAUUAAUUAAAUUAAUUUUUUUCGAAUGUUGAAAAUCUUCUUAUAUUGUCUAAAAUCGUCUUAUAAUGCGAAUAUAAGAAUUAAAUAGAUCUUAUUUUGAGAAAAAUCUUCUUAUAGUGAAUAUUUGCCUGCUCGCGGUAGGCAAAAUGGCUUUCGAAAUAUAAAAGUAUAUAAAAUGUGCAAACUUAGUUGCAAGGCCAUAUUAUCCUUACUUUACAAUAUUUUACCACCAAACUUAGCAUUUUACUACGGUGGUGUUGGAAUUUCAUUUCUUAAUUAAUAUGACCAUGUGGACGAGCGUACUCGAUUUUUACAUAAAUACGAUUUUCACAUUGUAAAAUGAAUGUCAUUAAAACGCUUAGUCAAAAGUCAAAACCUUAAAAUAUAUGUUAUGCUUGGCUGGAAAAAGAGUUUCCUCCAAAUCCUGUCGCAGAAACCCACUGGGUGGCACUGAGUUUUAUUAACUUUUUUUUCAACCAUGCAAUGCGUGUUAAGACUCUUACAUACUUGACCAGUCGACUUAUAAAAACAAUCUUCACAUACAUUUGAGUGGUUUUAACUGUACCUACGUAGUAAAUUUGUCAGUUUCCUAUUCCCAAAUCUUGUUUGAAGUGAAAAAAAAUAUUGGUGUGAAUAAUCCGGCAUAACAAUUUAUUCGUCCAUUAAUACUAUACAGGUUGAAUCCGGAGUCCGGAGUACCUGAAGAUACUUAAAUUAAGAAAGCCUGCGGUAUUUUGGCUGAUAAGCCGGCAGUAGAUAAGUACGUUUUGUAUGACAAGAUUUCAUAUAUGACCAUUAGUUGUAUUAGCUAGUCGUCUGUCAAACUUUGCCAAGUUUUUCGAUGACAAGUGCACUGUCUUGUUCAAAAGCUAACAUAUACUUGUCAGAAGACCGAAGUGCAAAUUUUGCUCGUCUGCAUGUAAUUGGCUGUAUAUAGUCAAGUAUCUGAUUGGAAGCACGUAUUCUCAAUAAUUGAAAAAAAAAUUUUUGUUCAAAAGUGCAAAAAUUAACAUAUUCAACGCAAAAAUAUAGGGUCAUUCAUUAAGUAUAAUAAUUUUACCAUAGGCAGCAGGAUUGGUUCCCUAAUUCGCUCAAAACGUCGAAAUGUUUUGGUAGCUUUUAUAUUUUUUCGGGUAUAGCUGUUCAGACGCCUGAAUGCACGCAGAUUAUGCUAAUGUGUUAUACGCAACUCAAUUUCCUGCCGUUGUUUCAGAGAAAUAAAUUCUUGUCAUAAACGUCAAACAAAACAAUAAAACAGCAAACAUCGGAUGUUGUUACUAUUCCUUAUUGCGUCAAUAUUGAAAAUAUUCACAAAUGAUCCAAAUAUGAAUGAGAUGGUGCUUUCCAGUUAAGAGCUUUUCAAAUUAUGCCUUUCUUAACUGAUUCAUGCGUCGCCCUUCUGUCGAACCUAAUUCGUCGUGAAGGGAAUUGGUUUGGUUGGGGGAGAGGGGCUAGGCGAACUCUAGAGGGGUCCGGACUUAUGUUCAUCUGGGCAAUUUUGAAAUCUAAACUUUCUAAAAAUAAUAAUAUUUAAUCAACAUAGAUACCAGUUCAAUGCCUUUCGGUAUAAUAAAAAUCACUGAAGAAUGCAUUAAAUCUAUAAGUAACAAACAAAUAGUGAUGAGCUUUUUGUCAGAACCGCAUAACUAUAUUUCGCAACUGGAGUCAUAAUUGACAUAACAAUCAAUUCAUUUCACCACGACUGAAAACGAUAUGUCAUUGUGUACAUUCGGGCAGCGAGGAAUUUUUGAAGAUUAAAGGUCUAAUAUAGCCACCAUAUAUCCAUAUGAUCAACUAAUAUGACAUAUGGUCGGAUGUUAGGUCUAAAGUUCUAAACCGCACGAGUCAUUAAUUCUCAUUAUUUUAUUAUUAUUAUUAUUCUUGGUGAGUGUAAGCAUGGAAAUGUCAUAACCAUUUACUAAUGUUACUACUUUAACUCCGGGAAACUUGAAUGCCUAUCGUAUAUAAUUUGUUCAUGACACAGAACCCAACAUUCGCUGGCAAAGAUUUUACAGAAUUCUGAUGGUCAGAAAACGAGGUAUAUAUUAGAAAAGCAAAUUUUACUAUAGACUUUUAUGUUUUCCUGUUUUUUUAUACGCCGACAUGAUUUGAAUGUAUUUUUACCCAACAAAUUAUUGAAUAUAAUACUUUUUUGUUUGUUUUUUUAUCGCGCCAUGCAAACCUACAAAGAACCGAUUAAAUUAUUGAAUACUUGAUAAAUUUGACCUACAAAACAUUUGGGAGUGUCACACACCCCAACGCCUCCCCCAUGAUUUACGCCCCUGCCUCUAAACUGUAAUACUGGCCCAGUCCACUGAAAUAAAAUAAGACUGGAUAAACCAUCUGCUGUGCAUAAGUGAAGCCAUUGGCGGCCAUAUUGGAUGGUCCCACCAUUAAUCUAAUCGGCUGGUGUUGUGCACUUGUUUAACACUUCCUUUACGUUUCUAUAGUCACUAGUGGGAAAGGACAAAUAUUGCCUAGAUAAGAAUUUAUCAUCAGUAUAUAGCCUCUCUUUUUUCCUAAAUUUGCCAGUGAAUAAGUACAAUUACUUAUCAAAUAUGGCCGCCAUAAUAGCCUCAAUAUGUGGCCGUAUAAAACAUUCUAAAACUAUUUCGAAGAGGUUUUGGAAGCUAUAUUUCACAAGUCACAUAGGCAAAGAUAUUUGCUAUGGUCAUGAAUUUGACUGAUUUAUAAAUCUCAUCUCAUUAAAAUAUUCUGGCUUCAAAAUCGGGUUCUGAAGUCAAUAGGAUUCUUUAUCCAGUCCUUAGUUCAUAUCAGUGGUCCAGGGUCAUUGCAGGAGGAAACUGAAAACAUAUUUCCAGCUGAGAUGACGUCAUAUUUAUGUCAUACAUAAAAAACACAGAUUGUUCUUUUCUGUUCGGAACAAACAGAAGUAAUUAUCAAGAAGCACUGAUGUGUGCUGCAAAUAAACACAAACUGCAUAAAUAGCAUAAAACUUGGAAUAAACGUUCGUGUAGUUAUCUUUAAAGUAGAUAACAAUAAAUGUAGGAAAAGGCAUUUGAGGAACUUAAAUAUUAUAUUUCAGAUGUUAUCAUUCUUUUGUAGUUAAACUGAUGCCUUGGCUAUAAUCUCUUGAUUGUUUGGGAUAAGCCUACCUGUUAUAUUAAUAAGAGGGUAUUGAUGGGGUAUAUCCCGUGAGUCUUGAUUGCUCAAUUUCGGUUACCGUCAGUCCAGGCCCGUAGCUGGGGGGGGGGGCCUGGGGGGGCAAUGCCCCCUCACUCGGUGUGGCAGUGCCCCCCCACUCGGAAAUUGGGUAUGAAAAAUUUAGAGAAAGGGCCUGGAAACAAAUUGUAAUAAUGGAAAAAUUCUGUAAAAUUUGUGGAAAAUUUUGUGAUUUUUGAAAAAUUUUGUUAGGUUUCGGAAAAAUUGAGUGUGUCCGGAAAAAUUGGUAUGUCCGGAAAAAAUUUUUGACCCCUAAAAUGGUACACUGACCGAAAUUUUUUUGGCGACGGGGGGGGAGGUCGACAAAAUAAAUUCAUUUUUUCCGUCCGUUACAUUUUUUCUGCAGUGAGUGCCCCCUCAAAAAUUGAGAGCCAGCUACGGGCUUGCGUCAGUCGUGAAAACACUAAAACAGUUUUACCGUGAAGCGUGAGGGAAAAAAAAACUAUUUAUUGUAUCAGAACACUUUUCAGCAGAUUCAAAGAUUUACCGUUAAAAUACCAAAGUUACCGUUAAAAUACCAAAAUUUUUACCGUUUAUAUACUUGUCACUUCAGACUAUACUUGGAUAUGAGGCUCCCAAAAGACGCGCGAUCUAAAUUUAACAUUGAAAUUGACAGACAUAUUGAAAUGUUCUGCAAGUCUAAAAAAAUUCAAGACUUUUCUGGCAACCAGUCAACCUAGCUGCUUUGGGAUAUUUUUAGAGCAUAGUGUAAGAUUCCUCCCCGCCUGAAUACACCGGCAUCUUGCGACCGGCGACUCGAGUCACUCGACCACUUAGUAUACACCAAAUUUUGUCUCCCAGUUAAGCGUUUAUAUGACAAUCCAGCUACCUUGAUAUUUAUCGACCAUGUACACAUGACAUGUAGCUCACAAAGAUGUGUUUCUUUGGAUCCCCCCCCAUGAAUCACGCACUGUGUGAUAAUUUAUGCACACCGCACACGGUCAAUUCCAAAGAAAAUACCGUAUAAAAAACAUGGGUAAUAAAGAUGAUAAGAGUUUGAAAUACAUAAAUUUUGCUAAGCAAAAGUGAAUACGGAUUUUUCUACAACAGAGCGCUGUCGGGCAUUUUUUUGUUACCGUUCUGUAUCGACGUAUCGCGAAUUUUCCAGAAAUACCUCCCGAAGGUAAGAGUACGUACGAGGUUGCCUAUGUUAUUGUUUCCUUUUCUCUGGGAUUUGCGAGUGUUUUUCUGGGUUGCUAAGCGACCGCAAUGUUCAAGCUCGUGUUACAGGUAGUAUUCGGUUUCAAUUUUUUUUGCAUAAACAUUGCAAACAAUAGGUCAGGUCUGGUUGCAGAAUGUCAGGUUUUCAGUUGACGCGAUCGUGCGGACGAGAAAAGAACGCAACAAAUAGCAACAGUGUUUAAAAAACGCCCUAAGGACUUGCAUUACAUUGAAAACGUGAGUAAGCAAUAGCGCACUGGUUGGAUAUUUACAUAAAAUCGUCGGCACUUGCAGAGAUCAGCAGAGUUUUCAAAGGUUAGUAAAGAUUUAAAGAUUUGAUGGCAGCCAUUUUAGACCGCCGGAGAUUACCCACAUAUAGUACCACAGUUGAUAGUACAUACCAAAUUGAUGCGCUAUGGGUAGUGUUUAUGUUAACAUUCAAUAUUUGCAUAUCUUGAUAACCAGAGCAAAGCGACGUAUCUUUGCAGAUUCAGUGAUGUAAAAAAUGUCAUUUUUCAAGCAUUGCUCAAUUGAAUUUCGACCAUAGGGCUAAGGUAUUAAUCUAGCUUUGCUUAUGCUGAAUGCUCACAGCCUCACGCUAAAUGCUGAACAAGUAUAAAAGCUAUAUGGAGAAGGAAUUGCCGAGAGUUCGUAUUCUUUAUAUCGAAUGCGUAAAUUUCUCUCGUGACAUAUGCAAAUUAGCCAGAUGGUAUUCACAAGUGCGCUCAUCUUAUCCACAGGCUAGGGGUUGCGGCACUUGCAACUCAAUGCUGUGGUCCAUCUGUGUUCGGUAUUUGUUUAUACAAAUCACCUUAUACAUAUAUAUUUUGAUUUGUACAUAUACUCUGUACACGGGGAUGCAUAAGAGCACUGAUCAUGGCAUUUAGGUUGACUGGGAAAUACCCUAAUGAAAUAUUUCUCUGCGCCUUUCGUGGACCAGCUCUCAGCUGCUUGGAUUAAGACUACAGACCUUUAUACGAUGUAUAGGAUGGCAACCCAACGACGAUGACCAGAAUAAAAUCAUUCAAAUAAACGAUUGUAAAGAAAGUUUGUGGACUAUUAUUUGCUCGUAUCAAUUUAAUAUUGUUUGGUUAGCUUGAAAUAGUGGCUUUAUUGUUCAGAAGGUUCUGCUGUAGUACUGAGCUAAUUUGCCAAGUAUCACUUCUCGCGUCUUCAAAUGCAGGCGUUUUAUCCAAGACGUAUUCAUUUUUUUCUUAAAUAUUAUGAAUCUCACAUGAAUAGCCGUCGUCGUCACAUCGGCCGUCCCACAACGUAAGGUCUCUAAUGGCUAAAACCGGACGAGAAUAAUGAAGUCAUAGUCACCGACAUGUCCAUGGUUGUCUGAGAUGUGCGCAAAUCGGUCUUUACCGAUUAUAUAUUAAACAGUGCAUGCGCAAGUAAUUAAAAUGUGGUACAGUAUAAACCAUGUUCUGCCGACAACUUAAGAAACUACAAUACAAAGCAUAUAUGUUCCAAAUAAAAUAAUAUUUGGGGUAUAUACAUAUAUAAUGUGUCAUGGUUUACAGCUGAUUGAGCGGGCCACCUGAAAAAGAUUAAUACUCGAAGUCGCUCAAAACAUCGAAAUGUUUUAGCUUUUAUAUUUUUUCGAGUAUAGCUGUUCAGACACCUGAAUGUACGGUACAUUUAAUAUGUAAUGCAUGGUUGCGCAAAAUUUCCUGCCGUUGUUCCAGCGAAAUAGAUUCUUGUUAUAUAUUAUGAAUAUGCUGUUCCUUAAUGCGUCAAUUAGAACAUUUUAAAUAUUCACAAAUGAUGGAAAAAGUGCUUUCCAGUUAAUCGUUUUCCUUAUUGCGUCAAUUAGAACAUUUUAAAUAUUCACAAAAGAUCAAAAAGGUGCUUUCCAGUUAAGCGUUUUUCAUAUACGUGCGUGUACGCGACGGAAAAGUUUAAAUCGACCAUUUACAUGUUACUCAGAAAUGGUGUGAAAUAAGUAAAUAUUACGAGAUGGCAAGUAACGAAAAAUUGAGUUGGGUUUGGUACAUGAGUUGAGUGGCGUAUGAAUCAAUGCCGCUCCAUUAUCGCAUAGUUCGACAGGCGCUGUCUAACUUCUGUCGAACGUUUGUCGCUUCAAAUUCUGCCUUACUUUUAAAACUGAUUCAUGCGGCGCUCUUCUGUCAUACCUAAUUCGUCGAUAACGUUCGCCGCAUGAAACCGUCUGAAACGGACCAAAAACGCUUAUUUGCCUGAACGUUGUCUAACAAUUAUUAUAUUGAAUAUAGUCAUAGUAGAAUUUUAAAGCCUUGAAGAGCUUUAAAACCACAUUUGUUCAAAGACUUGUAAUAUUAAAUUAGCCGCGUAUGCACACAGGUGCGGGUCAGCUGUAUGGCCACGGCAAUUACCAUGCCAGGACGAUUCCGUUCGUUUAAAUUUACGACUCAGGCUGCCUCUACUGUUUACCUUGUUUUUGAUAAUUGUAAACCUUUCUUUGCAGAAUCAUCUAUAUGUUUGAAUGCAUUUUUGUCUUGCUGUUUCAACAGCCUGACCCGCAUUUCUCAUUUAAGUUAUUGCGACUCCACCCACCAUGUUUCCUCGACCAUGGGCAUGGUGGGUUAGGCGUGGAAAAUGAGGCUUUUAGAUUAGCCGAGUAAUGAUUAGGUCUAACCGUUUGUUAAUUAAAAUAAAUUCAAAUUUUACUUGCAACAAAUCAUCCCGUUGCCAGGUUGGCCUAACGCACGGCUUACAUUCGAAUUGUACUUUAAAUAUUGAUGCUUUUGUGUGCAUAGCCAUAGUUAUGUUUUGAAACAGUGUCGGUGAAGACAUUUGAAAACGGGCGAAACCACUGCCUAAUUGCUCGCAAAAUUAAAUUAUACUGAAAUCUUUUUUUCCGCAAAAUUCUCACUAUAGUCUAUGGAAAUAGCGUGGAUCUUCGUUGGAAACUAAUAUGGAAAUCCAAUUUCAUAUAUACUAAUAGACCUUUCCCCUUUUGGGUGAAAUUUUGAUCUAGACAAGUCUGGACAAAAAUUUCAUCAGCUUGAAAGAGCAUCACAAAAUUAGUAAUAUUCCGAAGUUUCGUUGCGAAAUGUUGUAAACUACGGAUAAUAUAGCCUUGCGAAGUUUGCCGUUAUUCAGUCAUUUUGUAUUACAAACGGGAAAUUAGUAAUCAGAUGAUGAAACUGAUUAUCAAUUUCCCAUUUGUAAUACAAAAUGACUGAAAAACGGCAAACUUCGCAAUUAUCCGCAUUUUACAAUAUUUCGCAACAAAACUUCGGAAUAUUACUAAUUUUGUGAUGCUCUUUCAAGCUGUGAUGAAAUUUUUGUCCAGACUUGUCUAGAUCAAAAUUUUACUCAAUAAGGGGAAAGGUCUAUUGCAAUUUCCAUACUAUAUGGAUAUAGAUUAUAGUAUGGAAAUAAUAUGGAUAUACUACGGAUUUAGUGCUCAAAUCCCAUAGUAUAAAUUUCAAUUUUUUGUAUUUUUUUCCAGUGUUAACUAGUCAGUGGAGUGGUGCCAAUGUAGAUACAUGCGAGGGUAUAUCAGCGAAUUAGCUGAAUUCUGAAAUUCUCAGAGUUGCAUUUUUCUAUUAUUAGCAAUUGGUGCGUGCCUUGCGAUGCGCGCAUGACUAAAACAUCGACGAAAUUAUUCAUAUAAGACCAUUCUUACGUGGUAAUAUCAUUGAUAUUAUCACAAUUGAAAAGACGUGACCAUGUAAAAAAUAGGAUGUUGGACUAAGAGAAUAAAUGCUGCUUUGCAGCUGAUAUGCGUGCGUGUGCGCACGGAAAAGUUUUUUUAAGUCGUUCUAAAUUUCAUAUUAGCACUAAUUACCUCAACAAAUACAAAUUAAAUUACACAGAAAAUUAAACCUGUCCUUGUAUUCAAAUAGUUAUUUCGAAAGUAAAAUUUAAAAGGGUUUAAGCUUUUCCGUGCGUGCGUGUUAUAUGCACCUAUAAAAAACAGCCUUCUCACGCACGACGCAUUAAAAAAUCAAUAUUUAAUACACUUCAUAUAACUAUUUUAUGAUUCACCUUCUCUUCAUAAAAAUAGAUCUUGAACUCAAGCUUUACAUUUUAUUUCUUAUUAACUUUAUAAACGUGGUUUUUCCACAAAACAGAUCAGUUACAUUGACAAUCUUAUCCGAUUCGGUGCCAUACCUCUGUUGCCAUACAUAGGUCUACAUAUACAAACGUAUCACAGGCAUUCAUUGAAUAGUUGAAAUACCAAUAGCUGAUUCCAUGUACAUAAGGGGCGGACCAUUAGAAAUCCCGGGAGGGGGGGGGGGUGAAAAUUCCCCCAAAGAAAAAUUCGUGCAAAGAAAAAUGCCUGGAAAAAAAAUUCGUGCAAGCAAACAGAAAAGUCAUGGGUGUACCGGUCAGUUUGUAGUCGGGCAAUAUUCGCUGAACAGUCGGGCAAUUUUAGUUUAUUAAAAAAAAAAAAUUGAUAAAUUCUGUCAAUUUUGUGGUAACUUUUGGUAUGUGGUAUGUCCUGAAAAAAUGUUUGACCCCUAAAAUGGUACACUGACCGAAAAAUUUUUGGCGACGGGGGGGGAGGGGGGGGGAGGUCGCCAAAACAAAUUCCGGAAAAAAAUUUUCGGUACUUGUCGGUCAAAAUCAAGAAGUCUUGAAACAAAAUUCGUGCAGAGGUUAAAUGCAUUAAAAAAAUUCCUGCAGAGAUAUGAGACUGAAAAAAAAAUUCAUGCCGCAAAAAUUUUAUACCCCCCCCCUCCCGGGAUUUCUAAUGGUCCGCCCCUAAACCUUAUUUGGUUUUGGUUUAAUUAAGAAACUUCCCAUCUUAUACUAUCCGCACACAAAAGAAACUUGCCGAGCUAGCUGCCAUGCACGCGAGGCGGUUAGCUCAGCAAGUUGCUCUCGUGUGUGACAGCCUUAAGUUAAGAACUGCAUGCUUCAAACUUUGAUCGGCAUUCUGCAAUGACUAAUUUGAUCGCAUGUGAAGAGUGGUAUUGAUGUCAAUUAAUAUUAUUAUCCUAUUCAAGCUCCAUACAAUUAUAUGAUAUUUCUGUAGUAUAUUAUUAUUUUAUAUUAUAUAUUAUACAAAUAAUGAAUGUUUAUGAGUGCAAUGGUAAGAAUAUUUUCAUGAGGUGAAAGAUGGAAUGUUCCAUUCAACGAGGCGACAGCCGAGUUGAAUGGAACAUUCCAUCUUUCACCGAAGAGUGAAAGAUGGAAUGCGAUUUGGAAGGGAUGCGAUUUAUCGAAAACACAACAAGUGCAAUUGUACUAUACGUUUUAUUCCAUUGCACUCGCGGAGAGUGCAAUGGAACGUGUUCCAUUGCACUCUUGGGAAAUGGAAUUUUCUAUUCAAUAUCACGUGACCAUAAACAGCCAAUUACACGAUUAGAAUUUAAUAAGGUAUUAUAUAAUAUAUUAUAUCAAUUAUUAUAUAUUAUAUUUUGCACUUGUAUAUGUUACAUGGAAUUAUUAUUUUUUAUUUAUUAUAGAGUUUAUUUACAAAAAUAUAAGUGCUGACCCCCUGUUAUAACCAUGAAGGCUAAGGAACCGGUCAUUUAUAAUGGGGGGGGGGGGUGAUAAAUACCAAAUAUUGGACAUUUUUAGAGCCGCCCCCGAUCGCAAGAGCUUUAUUUUCAAGACGCCCCCACCUUCAUCUAGAAAAUUUAGGACUCCCCCCAGUCCCCACUCCAACAUUUAAUUCGUUACAUUUUCUGGUGUAAAAUAGGUAAUGGGACAAGUACUGGUGUAAGACAUUGUGUAGCCUAAAUAAUUAGAGGACCAGUAUUCAAAAUGGUUGUUAUUUACUCCGAUUCCUAUGGUGAACUGCAUAUCCGUAAUAAAGUGUGGAAACUACGACUAUAGGAUAAAGGAUACGACUAUAGGAUUCCUAUGGUGAACUAUUGGUAUAGGAUUCCUACGGUGAACUAUAUGGUGACUAUAGGAUACGACUAUAGGAUUCCUAUGGUGAACUAUUUUGUUGCAUACGAUAAAGGCGAGAGAUUGAAAAUGAGUAGGAAAGUAUUAAGAAAUUGGGGUUGCCCCUUGACACAUACCUCCCAUUUUGAGGCCGCCCCCAGUUCAGACAAAAAUAGUUGAAGCCGCCCUCCUUUUCUUAUCCACCUCCCCCCGUCCCACUAUUAAUGACCGGUCCCUAAUCGAGACAGGUGGUCAUUAAUAUAUUACAAUAUACUAUUAUUUAAAGAGUGUCACAAGAAGCCGGUGAAAACAAAGUCGAAAAAAUAAAACAAAGACAAAGUACAAUACAAAACAGAAACCAAAAGAAAACACAAAGUACAAAACAAAACAGAAACCAAAAGAACACAAGACAAAACAAAACAAAAAAAAAAGGAAAUUGACUGUUACACAUAUACUAAUUACGCGGAACUGGUAGUAAUCAAUUAACUGUUGUUUUAAAUUCUUUUUAAAAGAAGAUGCGCUCAGAGAUUUAAUGGACUCGUCAAUCUGAUACUUUCCAUAAUUAGUGCGAGGUUGGGAAUGGGAAAAGGAUGAUUUCGCAGAACUUCUUGUACUAUAUAAUGAUGCUUGCAACUAACAGAUAAAAAAGUUCAUAAACUCAUAUGCAAGUUUGUUGUUGUUAAAUUUAUGCGUAAGUAAUGUUGUAUUAGGUAAGACAAAAUUUCAGGAGCUUAAGUCUCUUAAAAUUGUGAGGUGUGUGACUCGCGAUAAUGAGAAAAUGUUAUUAUACGUAUUACUUUCUUUUGAAGAAUUACUGUUGGGUGAAUAUUUGUCUUGUAUAUACCCAUAUUACUUUAUGUUGAGUAGUUUAUUUUCUUUUGUGGUGUAUGAAAUAAUAACUUUUCGACAUUGAGUGUUAAUUUGUUUGCGCAUAACCAUAUAUUUUCAGUUCAUGAUUAAGUUUAGCUUCUAGUCUUUGAAUAUUACUUUCUGAAGGAAAUAGAUUUGAAUCGUCUGCAAAAAGAUGAAAGUCUAAAUCAGGAACACAAUUAUUAAAGUCAUUUAUAUAAAGAAGAAAUAAGAGUGGACCCAAGACUGAUCCCUGUGGUACACCACAUGAAAUGUGUUCUAACUCAGAUGAUAUACAGUAGACCACAGUAAGACUUUCUGUUGGUGUAAUGUACUCAGGUGAAUAUGAUGCUUGUGAUGUUACUCUGAGUGUAUAUCCACACCGGGCAAGCUUGAAAAAUAUGCCUCGCCACGGUGGGAAUCGAACCUACGACCUUUGGAAUACUAGCCCAAUGCUCUGCCAACUGAGCUACGCGGUCAGGUCGGUUCGAGUAUGUGAUAUUUCGGAACCGAGUCUAGUUCCUUCGAUAUCAAUGCAAUCUAGUUAUCAUAAUAUUUUUUUUCAUGAGGUUAUGCAAUAACAAAGGUUAACAGCUAGGGAACCAAGCCUCGUUACGUCGGCACAUCAUGUGACCAAAAGGGGGCCGGGCGAGUAUGUAAUAAGAGAUUGGCCGCGCAUUGGUGGUAUUAGUAAUCAUUGUGCGUUGGAAGCGUAGUAAACGUAUUAGGAACAAAGUUUUUUUUGUUCCUAAUGUUGGUCCAAAGGUCGUAGGAAUUGGCCAGGCAUAUUUUUCAAGCUUGCCCGGAGUGGAUAUACACUCAGAGUAACAUCACAAGCAUCAUACUAUAAACUUAUUUGAAAGCCAUACCUGGUAUAGUUUUUACAUUAUGUUAAUCAAACACCGAUACUUUUUUUUGAGACACCCGGUAUAUCAACGUCAAUACGGCAGGGUAAAUACACAACGAAAACAAAACAUACAAACAGGAGAUAGACUUAAAUGUGUUGAAAAUCUGGCUGUAUAUACUGAAAGCCUACCGUCCAUGUCUAAAGAUUUUAUUAAAUAUUAAUUAAAAAGUCAUUAUUACUAAACAACCAAUAAGCCAAGUAUAUGCAUGUCAAAGUAACGAACUGUUCAUUCAUUAUUUUCUUUAACUUAUAGCCACAGUUAAGAGAACCGUCAUUAAAUAAUUUUUGUACCAGCAUUUUCGUCCGGUGAAGCGAAAUAAAGACAGGUACAAUUAUAGAGGAAUAUAUUUCCUAAUUUAAAGGCAAAAUAUAACUUUUAAUUGCCUUGAUGGAAUGAUGAGCUCUCGUACUAGAAAUCUGAAACCUCUUUGUUGAUUCGAAAUGUGGACUUUGAACAUCCUAAUUAAGAUCGUGUGGAAAACAGUACUGGGCUUGUCAUAAAAACUAAAGGUAUAGAAAACACUUUAUUGUAAAAUUCUCGGCUUAAAUUAUAUAUUAUUGAGUUUUGAGUUUAUUCAGUUUCUAACUUAUUGGUGAGAUGAUUUCCCAACAGGCUAUAAUUGAUAGGGGAUCCGAGGUAUCUAUACGAUUUUAACGUCCUUAUCCGAGAAGACGCGAAAGUCUAACCAUUUACUGAUGUCAAUGUAAAGGUAGCACUUUCUCCUCAAUUGUUUUAAAAUUUUGAUUGAGUAGAGGUCCGACCAAGGAUUGAACCCAGGUUUGAAUUUCAUUCCUUUCUCUCAACAAUCAAGGAAGAUUUUUGAAAUCUUUAAUCAAAGGCUUUCAGCGACAGUGCUAAAUUGAUUGCCACAGUAUGCUUUUGUUAAACUAUAUCUAACCUAAGUACUAAAUUUAUUAAAAUUGCAAUUGGCUGCCAUAGGGCUUUUUUAGCGACACGGAUUUUACCGUAUUGAAACACUGGUAUUCGAUCAAAAUCAAUAGUUCACAUAUUGUUCAAGUAUUAUCAACACAGCUGGAAACAAUUCCAGCACUUUCAACCUCGCUUUCAACGACUUGCACUAAUUUCCAAGGGCUUGUCAGGCCUGGAUUUUGUUGGGUGUUUUACAAAUUCAAGGACUUUGCAGGAUUUUCAAGGCCCAUGGACACCCUGACAUUAAAAUCAAUUCCCUUGACUCCCACGUGUGAAUUGGGUCUUAAUUAAUUUCCUGUGUGCAUUUAUGAAUUAAUUUUUGCCUGGGAUUUUGGGCAUUUGCCAUAAAUCCCAGAUAUGCCGACGCGACAGGAACUACUGGGUACAUGGAAAACGUCUACAUGCCUUUCAAUCAACAAGGCUGGCCUGCUACUGCUUGUAUAUGACUUUAGCUUGACUUUUAUGAUAGCAAUAAUAACAAUAGGCAGACAAAUUGAUUACAUCUUUUAUAAGUUGCAAUUUAAGCCGGAUACUGACCGGUUCUAUUAAUUAAUCCUGCAGACUGAAUACAGGCAAAUUAAUUAAUUGUGGCACUCCGAAGAGAGUGUGACAUUUAUUUCUAGACAGCACUGAUUGAGAAAUUCAGUCAAAAACAAAAUUCCUCCGGUAUUAACAUAUAAGUGAGUUUGGGAAACGAAAAGUCAAGGGUAGAAAACAAAAUUACUUACAUUUUUUUAGCAGAGGCAGAGCAUACAUCAGUGACCUUUCCUCAAAGUACAUAUGUUUCUUUUUAAAUUAAAAGAGUCUUAUAAGUAUUGUAUACUAGUACCAGUCAGUGACUUGGCAUAAAACACCCCAAACUACUUCAAACGUGUAAUAUUCAAGGGAUUAUAAAACUAGAAUUUAUAGUCGCCUUUGUCUUAGUGAAAAUGCUAUUGUUGAUCAACACAUUUUCUUCUAUAAGGCACUUCAGAAAAUUUUGACUCAAAAAUUUGAGUAAAAAUUGAGCCCACAGUGACUCAAAAUUGACUCAUUUUUUGGGUACAGCAAAUCUUUACAUUUGAAAUUGAAAAUUACCAAGACUGCUGUAACUGAUAUUACCUGGAAAUCUUGAAACCGGCAACAAUCAAGAAAUCAGCCCAGAUAUCAGGUGAUUUCGAAAUCUUGCAAGUAAAGCAUCGUGAAGCGGUUACCAAGUUUAGUGUGAUCCGCACAUAGGUUUCUAGUUGAAUUUAUUCCAGUAAUUAAUGGUGUGAUGGAAAUUAAUAAAUUGUUGUCGCACGCUUUGAACAGCCCUCGCAGAGCGACCCACUAUCAAAAUAAACUAGUCUGAAUCAAUGGGGAGUUGUCAUUAAUGACCUCUAGCGGGGAACAUGUUAGAACCGAGACAGCUACCCAGUGUCUGCAAAUAUUUAUGCCAGAAAACAUCUUUUUUAGAUUUACACCAGCCAAACGUCUAUAUUCGACCUUUGAGCAGCCCCGUGUCGAGACUGCAGCUGCGCGUUGCAGCACAUUGAAGCUAAAAUUAAACAUAAGAUUAAAAGUUUUUAUAAUAAAAACCUCCAGUUCGACAAAACCAGUUGUCAGGUGACAUCGUAAUCCUCCGGCAAUCGCACAUUCGCACUGCAUUGAUCCGGAAUUUCUGACAAACCUGUAUAUUAUAUUUUCUGUGAAAUGGAAGCAUCCUGGCCCUGGGGUCAGUGGUUCAAAGCUGGAUUAACACAAAAAAAUAUUUCCAUGUUUAUAAGCUAGUGGGAAGAUUUAUUUGGAGGUUUCUGUUAACCAAGAAUUAAGGCCUCUGAGCAUUUUCUCAGCCCCUGUACGUGAGUCAGGGGACGGAGCCCAUAUCAUAGCCCAAGACCAAGUACAGCGCAUAUUGUAUUUGAAUAUUUUGCGUUAGAAUUAUUAUAUAAGCUGGAGCCUGCAUGACAGGCAUUUGUGAAGAAACUGCGUUUAAAGGAGUGCUAUUUAUACUGGUAUUUAUACUCUCCAGUAUAUCAAUGAAGCUUUGUUUAGUUAGUAAACUUGCUUGCGCAAUUAACUUCGCAGUACCGUAUUUACUCGAUUGAGCGCCGCCCCCGAAUGAGCUCCGCAUUUUAGAUCAAUUUAAUUUUUUUUAAAGAGCGCCGCCCCCUAAUAAGCACCGCACCAAACAGUGUAAAAACUUUCCGCCGUCAAAAUGGAGACAUUUAGUAACAAAGACAUUUGAAAUUUGUGUGUUUCAUUGUUAAAAUUCUUGUUAUAAUUCACAACUAAAAGAUUUUUUUAAAGAGCGCCGCCCCCGAAUGAGCGCCGCAUCUGAAGCUCUGAAAAUUUAAAGCGCUCAAACGAGUAAAUACGGUAUAUGCACGUAGUGGGUGGAGCCCGACAUAUACCCAGCUCACUCAGUAAUCUAUAACACCUGAAAUGCACGCCUCCAGACUCACUAACUAAUACUCAUAAAUAGGAACAUAACCUACCAGUUUGGAUGUUUUGUUUUACAAGACAUUUUCACCAGUGGAAAGAGCCUGGGUACGGUUGGUUCAUUGUCAGCUAAAAGCAACUGUCCUUGAGCUGCAAUAAAAUUGAAAAAUUCACUUGAAAUUUCAGAGAGGAUGAGCUAAUUAAGGUGGGCUAAUGCGAGCUAAGGCAGUCUAAGGUGGGCAAAGUAAUGAAAUAAUAAUCCCGUGAGGCAGAAUAUGCCCGUUCGCAGGUUAGAAAUUAAAAUUUGAGAUUUCAAGUGGGUAUCUCUACCAGUUCUUUCCUUAUAGACGCUGUGUAAGAGAGAUUCAGAUUUUGACUUCCACAGUGACAGUUAGCGGUGGACGUCGAAUCUGAACUUCUCUCUACAAAGACAUACAUGAAGAGUAUGAUUUUAUGCCUCUCCCACUCCAAAAAUAUAAUUUGGGUCAAUAUCCGGGCACUCGGUCAACAUCUCAUUUCCUAUCAAGUGGCACUGGGUACGAGAUUGCACACAUGCAGGUCGUAUAUAAAGUACUCGAGCAUGAUCGAUAGGCGCAUUUCGCGAGUUCAUCGAAUGACCGUCUUAAUUUACAUAUUUUCCGCGACUGGUGUUUGGUGGGAGAAUCCAUUCGCAUUUAACUGAUUUGGUAAGUUACAAGCUUGAUGCAUAUUCAUCUCAGAACGGACUAUAUAACUGCUGGCUUACAAUACUGCCAUUCUAUUUUAUAGAGUAUAUUUGACUUGGCCUAGCAGGCUUACACCUAGGAUUAUUUGAAUUUUGAAUUCUAUUUAACAAAGGUCUUGAAAUAAAUUUCGACAUAAAUGUAAGCAAUAUCAAAUUGAAUAAACGAACGACAUUUUGAUGUUUAUCGCAGCAUUAUUUUCAAGUUGAAAUGCAUUAAAUUAUAAAUAACAAGCGCGUGAAUUCGUUGUGAUAUUCAAGCGACGUUAAUAGCAAAUAGUUGCGCAAAUUUGAGCAUGUAGAAAAAUACAAAUAAACAGAAUCUACAUGUACAACUAUAAAUCUGUAUGUUUAAAUUGUAACCCUUGUCGAUACAAACAUUCGUAUGUAACUUAUAUGUUAAAAGGGCCCACAGUAAUUGGUUUUAAUUGUGUGGUGUGCCAUUCGUCACCAGUAUUAUAAUAUUGUAUUUGCAUUGUAUGCAUGUCAUCAAAUAAAACUCCAACAAACGUUAGAAUGUUGAACGAAAAACGCUGGCUUUAAUAAUAACUGAUUCCAACAUCAGACGGCGAGUAUUAAGACUUCAAAAUUUAUUACGCAAGGCAUGCGGAAUAUUUCAUAGUUGAUGGGCUAUCAAACGGGGUUUUUUUUCGUUUUAAACGAAAAAUGUAUCGAUUGAUGUACAAAUGUACGAAAGAUGGAACUAUAUAUAUAUUGAGAAGAAAGCUUCGGAUACAACUACCUGAAAAAUACAAGGAGAAUUUCGACGUUUCGAGCGAAGGCCCUUGUCGGGAAAUUAAUAGCUUUCUAACUUCCUGGCGAAGGGCCUUCUUGAAAUGUCGAAGUUCUCCUUGUAUUUUUCAGGUAGUUGUAUAUCCUAUAUGAAUUCGAAGCUUUCUUAUUAUUAUUGCCACUACCUACACUGGCACAGAUUGUUCAAACCUAUAUAUAUUGCCUGAUGGUAGCGGGCAAUGGUCGCAAGAUGAUCUUUCUAGAAAUUCGAAGAAUAGUGUUAUCAAUAGUGUCUGGGAAAACAAUGGCUUAUAAAACGCCGGCAACGCAGGCUACAAUGGCUUGUUUGGAUGAACAUACAUGGAGACAUACACAUACAUAUAUUUGCAUCUGGUAGUUUUUCUGUUGUAUGAAGCGCAUUGCGCGGUCGGUAUUAAUAAUAUAAUCGCUGCAGUACAAAUUAGCUGCUGCAUGCGCAUUGAAAGAAGCAUCUCUAAGCAUAAGGCAUAAGCUAUUUUUUCCGGUUUUUGUAUCGUUUUAUACAUGCAAUUAACUGGUUUUAUCAGCCUGACAAAUUAGACUUGUUUUGUAUUAAUACUACAUCACUACCGAUAUUUUAUAAACUACGAAGCCCCCCAAUUCAAUCACGUGAUUCAAUGUACGAAAUGUUUCAUGAACCUAUUUUGCGACAUUGCGCCAUCAUGCACGGUAUAAUGAGUCGAGUGGACUCUAAUAUAGACUCUCAAUUUUUAAAAAAAAAGAAACCUUAUAAACAGAAUGACCUUACGAACGAUAACUUUUAAUUAAAGGUGUAUUCCACAUAACUUGCGCAAGGCUUUAACCGACUAUAUAUAUAUUCAUAGACUUAUAGUUGAAAUAUUUAACAACAAGCAUGAUUCUAAGCGUUGAAUGGCACGCUCAAGUAAGUGAUCUAAACACGUCUAAAGAGGUCCUUUAUAAAUUCACACCCGGUUUGGAAAUUAGCGGUAUAGCCGGCUAAACUGAAUGUAAAGUUUGUACUGAUAUGACACACCGGAAAAGCGCACAAAUUCCAAACGACAUGAGAUGAAUUAUUCGUUCGGUUCCUCCAUGUAUCACAAGGUAGACAAGCGCGUCCAUGGAACUCACAUUCGGGAGUUGAAACUUCACGUUUGAAAGCAAAGACAAACGCCAGACCAGAUUUUGUGGCAGCAUUUGCAUUUUCCUUUGUUUCUUCAUAUUUUCUUUCUUAUAGCCUACAUGUCAAAAAAAUCAUUUUCACUUCUGUUUGAACACAAUUCUGGUCCAUUCUAUCUUUAUUGUUCUACAAUGUAAAAUUUUCCCGCUUUGUCUGCUGUUUGUCGUUCGACUGUAUUAGUUGUAUUAUAUCAUCAGCAGUAUAUUUUGUCAUUGAAAUGCAUUCAUUUGUAGCUAGAAAAUUGGAGGGUAUAUAGGGUAUUUAUUCCACAAACACUUAGCGAAUGUGAAAAUCUCACAGCGAAAUGAAUUAACGCAUGCCAUGGGAAAUAAAUAUAAACAGACUUCGGAAGAAGCGAGAAUAAUUAAUAAAAUAUUUUUCUUGCCAAGAAUUUUACCGACGCGGAUUCAUGGUUAAACGAAGAUGGAUUUUAUAUGGAAAAAAUGCCAUAAGCUAGAUUAUCGUAAAAGUCUUCUCAUGGACUGAUGGAGUGAUGGAUGUAUCGAUGUUUCACCUCAAUUUUUUCUCCUCGAAAUACCGUAGACAAAUUGCAACAUCUUGGAAUAGUGAAUUCGUUCGUUCCAAGAAUGGCAUUGCUACAAUCCAAUAUAUAUUUUUACCGCACUAUCACAGUAUCAGGCAUAACCAUAUCACACGCCACCUGAUUUCUUUUGCAUAUAGACUAUAGUCUGUCAAGAUGUGAUGGUUUGGAAGCCUGUCAAACUUCAAAGCUACAAAAUAGAAAACUAUAGAAGACCUUUGUUUGAUGUUCAACUAUACCUCACCAUGCCCAAAUCCUUUGUCUCAACUUCAUUAAAUAUUAUUCAUCGUGGUUGCACGUUUCAUCUCAGCUAUCCCUAUUGGACGUGGUUGUACGAAAAUACAUGAAAUAAGCUCAAUCACCGUGCACAAAUUAACAUAAACUCAAUCAGACUUUAUGUUCAAUUUCCAGACCAUCUUGAUAGACCAUGUUUUGAAUUAGCAUUUGUUUUGCGCAUGCAUGCAGCUCAUGACUGAAGUCUGCGCUUUUGUCUAAACAGUUUUGCCCCGUCUGCAGUCUUUGAUUGUGUCUUGCCUUUCUCCCUCCCCUGGUUCGGCCUAGAGACGCAACCACAGGCGAGACUAGAACGAAACACGGCUGAAACCCUGAGACUUUUGAAAUUAUGUAGAAAAAAAUGUUCUUUUGAAUUACCUGCAGCUUUUGCUUGUUAUUAUUUAAUCUUAUUUAAGCACGAUAUCUUCAUUACAAAAAUGAUUUUAUACUUGUGUCGAAGUUUACAAUGCAGCAUACAGGCAUUUUUGUCAUAGUUUUGCCUUUUCUUUUAAGUUAUGUUUGCGCAAGACAUGACAAAAACAGGAAGAAUUUUGUUUGGAAGUUUCUUUUAUUUGUUCUGCCCUAGAUGGGGUAAUUGGAAAACGUGCACAGUAAAAUCGUUUGUGGAUCUGUGCAUGGUGAGGUAUACAGUUCAAUAUCAAACAAAGCUCUCCUAUUUUGUGGCUUUGAAGUUUGCCGGGCUUCCAUGAUAAAACUCAUAACUACUUUUUGACCACCGUUUUGUAGUUAAAUAGUAGUUAACUCUAAAAUACGCGAUUUUGAUUACUUGACUUUCGCACUGUGGUUAACUUUAAUUACCGUUUUGUACAAUCGGCCCCAGAAUAUCAAGUUGUAUUUGGCGAAUGUCUGAACUCUAUAAAAAUCAGGUACAAGUACACUGUCUCUCGUUCCCAAGGCCUUUUUGAAAAUGCGGCCUGUCUCACUGUACACUUCCAUAUAUAACUAUGAUUAGAAUCCUUUCCAAAUUUCAGUUUGAAGUGGUUCUGAUAAAAAUUGGUGUCUAAUUGUCAAGUUUCAUCUGCUGGGUUGUUACGAGGGGCAUUUCACUCCAAAAAAGCGUACGGGAUUUUCGGAUUUUUAAAAAUCCGCGGAUUUUUUAGCGGAUUUUUGAAGAGAAAAUCUGUUGGAUUUUCCGGAUUUGUGUGGAUUUUCCAGAUUUGUUCCGAUUUUUUCCAGAUUUUUUGACGAAGCGUACGGGAUUUUUGGAUUUUUAAAAAUCCGCGGAUUUUUUAGCGGAUUUUUGAAGAGAAAAUCUGUUGGAUUUUCCGGAUUUGUUCGGAUUUUUUCCGGAUUUUUUGACGAAGUGUACGGGAUUUUUGGAGUGAAAUGCCCCUCGGGUUGUUAUAUCCAGAAUUUUACUGUACAUCGUAUGUCUCACUGUAUUUGUGUAUUCGUGCGCUUAUUUUCCCAUGUUAGGCUUUUGGGAAUGAGGUGGGAUGAGGAUAACCACAGUUAGAAAAGUAAUAUUAUAAUAGUAAUAUUAGUCUAGGCUAAGUAAAUAACAUAAGUAAUCGUAAUACAUGAUGUAAUCGGUCACUGAAAAGCCCAAAUGGGGAGUGAACUGAAUAAUAAUGUAGUGUAAUUGUCCAGGUUGCUUUCUCAUGACUUGGUCCGAGCCAGGAGCAGUUGCCAAAAAUGCAACUAUAGGUCCUCUAGCAGGAGUCGAACCUGCUGCCUUGCGAUUCCGGUGCAGUGCUCGAACCAACUGAGCUACAGAGGCCAAUUGUCGAGCUCUAACCAACUGAGCUACAGAGGCCAGUUAUCGAGUAUUAACCCCAAGUUCACGUAAGGGGAUGCCAGUGUAUUAAGGUAUAUGUUUUUGGGUAAAUCACGGUAAAAUUUACAAAUGUCGAAUGAGGUGUCCAAACAUAUUUAUUGCUAAUAUUCAUUGGGGUAAUCAAAGACAUAUGAACAUAAAGAAUGUGACAUAAGCUUCAUAUUAGCACAAGAUUAGAUUACAGGAAAGCAGGGAAGAACAAAAGGAAAUUCAAUUCAUUCUUUUCAUGCUUUGUUUGCGUCCGGAGAAAUGCAGUAUCAACUGGCACGCGAUGAAAGCCUAGUUUGAUGUUAUCUCCACUUUUUAGCGCUAGACGUAUGCCAUAUGCACCAUUGAUCCUGAAACUAGCAAUGAAUAGUAGUGCAUCUGCUAUGCAAAGAAAGAUGACGUCAAUGGCAGCCAUAUUGGUAGAAAUUCUGACGUAGUAGAAGCAUUGAACUAUAAAUAAACUGGAAGGCUAACUCAGGGGGGGAAAUUGAAGCCAGUGCAUUUUAGUUUUUCUGAGUUAUGAGCAGAAAUACUCAACACUGAACGUUGGGCUAUAUAUCAAAUUGAAGCUAUUGAAAAACGCUAUUUGGUGUAGAAAUUUCAAGACUUUAGCUAAAAGGGAAAUAUUGAAAAACUACAAACAUAAUUACCGAUAAUUUGCCGUUUUGCAGUUGUUUUUGUAUUUUUUAAAUAUUUUUCUUUUCGCUGAAGUCUUGAAAUUUCCACACCGAAUAGCAAUUUUCAAUAGCUUCAAUUUGAUAUAUAGCCCAACGUUUGGGGUCAAGUAUUUCUGCUCAUAACUCAGAAAAACUAUUUUGGCUUCAUCAAAUCAUAGGCCUUCAUCAUAUAGCAGUUAGCCUUCCAGUUUAUUUAUAGUUCAAUGAGUAGAAGAGGUUCAUUUGCAUAAUAAGUUGUCAUGGCAAUAAUAUAAUAUUUGUUUUGGUUUGUGGAUAACACCGCAUGCAUUUAUUAUUGCAAAGCUCUCGAUCCGUAAGCCCGGAUCUUCAUCUGUGCUCGAGGCUUUGUUUCCAAUUCACACACAGAAAUAGAUCACGACACUUUUCGUUUUGAAGGACGUGCGAAUUUGAACAAAGCCUUAAUAUCAUAAGCACUAAUGAAGAUCAGACAAUACAAACAAACAUACGUGGUGCUACCCACAAACUAAAUCUAAAACAAAUACAUUUGCAUAAUCUACGGUAUUCAUUGCAGAAAAAUUCAAUUUGAAUUGGGUGGAUACUUCAAUGUCUUUGAGUGCAAAAUAUAAAUCUACUGGUUUUUCUUUUUGAUAAUCUUUUCAUCAAUAACGAUAUGUGUACAGUACAGAAAAGCCUUGCUAAGUACAAGCAUGAAUAAAGGAGGCAAAACACAAAAAAAAGGAAUGCAGUACUUAAAGCUUGUGACAUAAGCUUCGAUUUUCACCGCACAUCGUUUUGGCCAAGGUCACGUACCGAAACUGUGGGUUCUCAUUGGCUAGUUAAUUCAAGCAGCCCAGUAUUAAGCUUACAACAUCCGCGUGAUAUGUUCUUUGUUUAUACUGGCUUGAGUUUAAUCGGCAAAUGACGUCAACUAGUUUCACGCUGAUUGGUUGAAUGGUUGCAAACAUUUCAGUUUCACGUGGGAAAAUACAAUGUUUUUGUCUGUAACCUUCUAGAAGUCACCUAAAGGCCCAUGGUAGGAACACUGUGCCAAUAAGAGAUGUCCUUCUCGGGGACAAACUAUACAGGCUUUUAGUAGAUAAAAGCGUUUUCUAAAGCAAAUUCGUAAACGGGGGGGGUACACCCCCACAUCCCCCGGUCGCUACGUCCCUGCCUACAAGGUUUGAACAUCUAUAAAAUCAUCCGUCAGAAGAAGAACAUCGCACCUUAUUAAGCUGUGCUCUUUGUCCUAUUAAAAAUCAAAGGCCGUUGAGGCCGACUCACGGAUAAGAUCAAAUGAAAGUGACAGAAAGAAUUAGAGCAGUUUGCAGUUGUUUUUGCAAACCGGGCACCGUGCGAAUUUUGCCAUUUCACUCAUUUGUCGUGCUUCAUCAUGCCAAAUCAAAAGAACGAACGCGUGCUGCAGUCGGUUCUGAAAGGCCCGAUUCGCAGGCAAACAGUGCGCGCAAAGCAGGCUGGUCAUUUCCCAUUGUUUAACUGCCCCACACUCACCCCACACUCAAGAAACCACAAAGACUCGCAGAUCAUCCCUGAGUCAAAAACGAGCGUCUCCAAAUAUGGGCAGAGAUUUAAAAUCGUUCUAUUCAUUUCCAGGUUACUUUUAGAUGGCAUAACAUGGUAUCCAACAGAGAAUUCUAUUCCAGUAACUGCAAUUACCAAGUACAGUAAACAGACGGGUUCCCACUUGCGUGCGUCAUACUCUGACACCGGAUAUUAUUCUAAAUUACCGAUCCUUGGCUUUUCUCAUAAACAAGUCAUUUCAGGGCAGUGCUUUUCAGAACGUUUCAGAAACGAGCUGAGCUGGACCUUGUUCUACACAGUCAUAUCAAACUACAAGAAAAAGUCUUGUUUUAAG
Molecule: non-coding RNA, 27677 nt
Organism: Paramuricea clavata
Lineage: Eukaryota; Metazoa; Cnidaria; Anthozoa; Malacalcyonacea; Plexauridae
Source: the annotation of a GenBank genome assembly